AAUUCACUUUGGACUAUUAAUCCUGAUGCCCAAAGCUAGCUUUGCUCCAUUUGCUGGUGUUUUGGUUGUCCUCAUAACUCAGUGUCCCCACAAAGGGUUUAUACACACUUGAGGAAUCUGCUUUAAAGUAGUUCCUUUUUUUCAGAGUAUUUGGCAUUCCAUGGCACCUUGAAAGAUGUGAUUGAUAUCACAUAAUACACUAUGUGGCAAUUCUGCAAAAACAGCCUUUGGAUUCCAUAAGGAGAAGUUUAAGGUCUGACCCCUCUCUUGAAGAAAGUAGGGGGACAAAAAAAAGUUACUGAGAGAUGACAAGUCAUCUAAUUCACAGGAACUUAGCUAUAUAAUUAUAUUAAUAAUUGAGCAGAUUUACUUUAAGCAGAUUUCUAUUAGUAGGUUAAAUUUAUCACAUGGCUUCACAUGACAAAGCAGAGGAUUUCCAAGGUGACUUCUAACUGCAGUGGCUUGCCUUUUCACUACAAGAUUCUCCAAUAGAUAAAGAAAACUACCUACAUGCAAUACCACCCUGAUAUUUUUCACUAUAUAUCCUCAUAAUGAAUAAAGCAACAUACCUUUGAGGGGUGGGAAUUUAUGUUACUCUCUUAAGAUCAUGCCAUCGUUUCAAUGCACAAAUAAAGGAUUUGCCAAACUCUUAUAUUAAUUUGACUGUGGGCUACCCAAGUCACAAGUCUGCACAGUUAAGACCUCUUUCCAAAAGAAGCCAUCAUCAGCCUGCUACUAGAAUUCUUAUAGAUCAUAAACACUAUUUGUAGGGUUUAGUAUCGAUAUAAAGCACACGGCAGCUGUUAGCACUGUGAGAUACACAGUGUUGAAAUAAUGCAGGGCAGAACACAGAAGGGGUAAAAGAAGUGCAAGUUCAGUCUGGGUUUCUUUACCCCAGUCAUUGGUCCCUGAAUGCCUUUUGGAAUGUGUGGCACCCAGUGUAACAAUCAUAAGAGACAAUCCAUGGGAAAUGGAAUCCCAGGCAAGCUCUGACAGAAAGGUCACUCAGGAUGAUAUGGGAAUGUUCCCUAUAUUAUGAUGAAACAAAGGUGAUGACUCACUGUCAGCUUCUGUUUUCUUCAGGAAUGCCUACAGAAGGAGAAUUUCAGAAUUCUGUUAACAAAAGACCAAAAAUACUCAUGACCAAAAAUACUUGCAUAGCCCAUAGCAUUUGCAUACUCAAGGAGGAGUAGAAACAGGAUCCCACAGCGUAUCCAAGCAACUGCACCUAAGAGGAUAUGGACCACAGCUACAAAUUAUCCCUGAAUGUCUAGAAAUUAAAUUCCAGAGUGAGAAUUUCAUACAUUUGAACUGACAUAUUCAACUCAUAAAGUAAAGAAAAACAAGGGCUAAAAUAA
Long non-coding RNA from Passer domesticus (house sparrow), 1358 nucleotides. RefSeq lists it as uncharacterized. Lineage: Eukaryota; Metazoa; Chordata; Aves; Passeriformes; Passeridae. The transcript has 3 exons. The record is from RefSeq and is a predicted model, not a curated record.